This 351-nucleotide ribosomal RNA is filed under the name Triticum aestivum (bread wheat). Its description in RNAcentral is "partial small subunit ribosomal RNA". The record is from RNAcentral. Lineage: Eukaryota; Viridiplantae; Streptophyta; Magnoliopsida; Poales; Poaceae.
AUGUCGUGCAACGCCUUGGAGUUAGUGUGCUGGAAUGUUAGAGGCCUUAACAGUCCGGCCAAGAGAAAGGCGCUUAGAGGUUUCGUGGACUCCGUCCGUCCGGCGAUUGUUUGCAUCUUAGAAACUAAUUUAGAGGUAGUGGACAUUUAUGUAAUCUUGCAAUGCAUGGGACCAAACUAUGAUGGUUUUACCUACUUACCGGCGUCGGAGACUAGAGGUGGUAUUUUCGUGGCUUGGGACACCACGAGGGUACUUGUGACAAACUUUGUCAACGAUGCUCAUUGCAUCACCGGGUAUGUAUCGCCAAAGGAGGGAACGCCAUGGUGGUUAACCGUAGUUUAUGGGCCGUAG